RNAcentral lists this ribosomal RNA (446 nucleotides) under uncultured bacterium. Its description in RNAcentral is "partial 16S ribosomal RNA". It matches the Rfam family "Bacterial small subunit ribosomal RNA", at positions 338 to 795 of the family's 1533-position model. The record is from RNAcentral.
CCUACGGGUGACUGCAGUCGAGAAUCAUUCACAAUGGGGGAAACCCUGAUGGUGCGACGCCGCGUGGGGGAAUGAAGGUCUUAGGAUUGUAAACCCCUGUCAUGUGGGAGCAAAUUAAAAAGAUAGUACCACAAGAGGAAGAGACGGCUAACUAUGUGCCAGCAGCCGCGGUCAUACAGAGGUCUCAAGCGUUGUUCGGAAUCACUGGGCGUAAAGCGUGCGUAGGCUGUUGCGUAAGUCGUGUGUGAAAGGCGCGGGCUCAACCCGCGGACGGCACAUGAUACUGCGAGACUAGAGUAAUGGAGGGGGAACCGGAAGUCUCGGUGUAGCAGUGAAAUGCGUAGAUAUCGAGAGGAACACUCGUGGCGAAGGCGGGUUCCUGGACAUUAACUGACGCUGAGGCACGAAGGCCAGGGGAGCGAAAGGGAUUAGAUACCCGGGUAGUC